This 363-nucleotide RNase P RNA is filed under the name Gemmatimonadota bacterium. RNAcentral describes it as "Gemmatimonadetes bacterium RNase P RNA component class A". It matches the Rfam family "Bacterial RNase P class A". From Rfam's summary of the family: Ribonuclease P (RNase P) is a ubiquitous endoribonuclease, found in archaea, bacteria and eukarya as well as chloroplasts and mitochondria. Its best characterised activity is the generation of mature 5'-ends of tRNAs by cleaving the 5'-leader elements of precursor-tRNAs. Lineage: Bacteria; Pseudomonadati; Gemmatimonadota. The record is from RNAcentral.
UUGGUGGAGCGUGAUGGUCGCGGUCCGUCGUAACAGACGGGUCGAGGAAAGUCCGAGCUCCGUAGGGCAGAUUGCCAGGUAACGCCUGGGCGCCGUAAGGCGACGGACAGGGCCACAGAAAACAAACCGCCCGGAAACGGGUAAGGGUGAAACGGCGGGGUAAGAGCCCACCGCGCGACUGGUAACAGUCGUGGCACGGUAACCCCCAGUCGGAGCAAGGCCAAAUAGGCGGCGAGGUUCGGCCCGAACCACUCGAGCCGUGGGUAGGCUGCUUCAGGCGACAGGCGACUGUUGUCGCAGAUAGAUGACCAUCCAUCCGCUUGCGCGGGUGAACAGAACUCGGCUUACGGCUCCACCAGCUCU